UGAGCAGGCCGGAUGGCUGCGCCCAGCUACUGUAAUCAGUGGCCGGGUGAGGAAAGUCCGAGCUCCACAGGGCAAGGGCGCCGGGUAAUGCCCGGCGGAGGCGACUCCAGGGAAAGUGCAACAGAAAUAGACCGCCCGGCUACUGGUUACAGUGGCCGGGUAAGGAUGGAAAGGGGAGGUAAGAGCUCACCGACGCCGCGGCGACGCGGCGUGCCAUGUAAACCCCGUCCGGUGCAAGAUUGAAUUGGGGACACUUGUGGCGUAUGCCACAGAAAUAGCGGCCCGCUAAGUCCUUUGUAAUCGCAAGAACCCGUUUGGCAACAUCGGGUCCAGAUAGAUGGCCAUCAAGACAGAACUCGGCUUACAGGCCUGACUCAAAAC
Molecule: RNase P RNA, 381 nt
Filed under: Clostridiales bacterium
Lineage: Bacteria; Bacillati; Bacillota; Clostridia; Eubacteriales
Description: RNase P RNA component class A
Rfam family: Bacterial RNase P class A
About the family: Ribonuclease P (RNase P) is a ubiquitous endoribonuclease, found in archaea, bacteria and eukarya as well as chloroplasts and mitochondria. Its best characterised activity is the generation of mature 5'-ends of tRNAs by cleaving the 5'-leader elements of precursor-tRNAs.
Source: RNAcentral